CCUACGGGUGGCAGCAGUGAGGAAUAUUGGUCAAUGGACGAGAGUCUGAACCAGCCAAGUAGCGUGAAGGAUGACUGCCCUAUGGGUUGUAAACUUCUUUUAUAUGGGAAUAAAAUGUUCCACGUGUGGGAUUUUGUAUGUACCAUAUGAAUAAAGAUCGGCUAACUCCGUGCCAGCAGCCGCGGUAAUACGGAGGAUCCGAGCGUUAUCCGGAUUUAUUGGGUUUAAAGGGAGCGUAGGUGGAUUGUUAAGUCAGUUGUGAAAGUUUGCGGCUCAACCGUAAAAUUGCAGUUGAAACUGGCAGUCUUGAGUACAGUAGAGGUAGGAGGAAUUCGUGGUGUAGCGGUGAAAUGCUUAGAUAUCACGAAGAACUCCGAUUGCGAAGGCAGCUUACUGGACUGCAACUGACACUGAGGCUCGAAAGUGUGGGUAUCAAACAGGAUUAGAUACCCCGGUAGUC
This 460-nucleotide ribosomal RNA is filed under the name uncultured bacterium. Its description in RNAcentral is "partial 16S ribosomal RNA". It matches the Rfam family "Bacterial small subunit ribosomal RNA", at positions 338 to 795 of the family's 1533-position model. The record is from RNAcentral.